CCCGUGCUGAGGGAUGAAUGGUUGAGGAAGUUUAAAAUAUGCUCGAUCUUUAACGGAGCCCGUAGCGUGGGUAGAUCGUCUUUUUGGGUUGCGUUGUGGUGAAAGAUCUACCAAACCGAACCCUAGUCCUAACUGCUUCCAACUAGUGGAACAGCAUAACUUAGUAAUCAAAGGAAAACACUUUGGUCCUUAUUACAUUUCAAACCUUGUUGAAAGUGAUAGGUCUCGGUUUUAGGUGUGGCUGAGAUAGAUCUUGAAACAAGGACAAAUGGAUUAGUAUUCCUAAUCUUUUAUUCGGUGUUCACUAGUUUGAAACAGUAAGGACUAGGGUUCCGAUUCAUGGUCAAUAUCGGUAUCAUUUCUUGACUUAAUCGUUAGGGGAUCCGAUUUU
Long non-coding RNA from Aedes albopictus (Asian tiger mosquito), 391 nucleotides. RefSeq lists it as uncharacterized. Lineage: Eukaryota; Metazoa; Arthropoda; Insecta; Diptera; Culicidae. The record is from RefSeq and is a predicted model, not a curated record. The transcript is spliced from 2 exons.